GUGGCGGGACGGGGAGCUACCAUGCAGUCGAGCGGUAGCACAGAGAGCUUGCUCUCGGGUGACGAGCGGCGGACGGGUGAGUAAUGUCUGGGAAACUGCCUGAUGGAGGGGGAUAACUACUGGAAACGGUAGCUAAUACCGCAUAACGUCGCAAGACCAAAGUGGGGGACCUUCGGGCCUCAUGCCAUCAGAUGUGCCCAGAUGGGAUUAGCUGGUAGGUGGGGUAACGGCUCACCUAGGCGACGAUCCCUAGCUGGUCUGAGAGGAUGACCAGCCACACUGGAACUGAGACACGGUCCAGACUCCUACGGGAGGCAGCAGUGGGGAAUAUUGCACAAUGGGCGCAAGCCUGAUGCAGCCAUGCCGCGUGUGUGAAGAAGGCCUUCGGGUUGUAAAGCACUUUCAGCGGGGAGGAAGGCGGUGAGGUUAAUAACCUCAUCGAUUGACGUUACCCGCAGAAGAAGCACCGGCUAACUCCGUGCCAGCAGCCGCGGUAAUACGGAGGGUGCAAGCGUUAAUCGGAAUUACUGGGCGUAAAGCGCACGCAGGCGGUCUGUCAAGUCGGAUGUGAAAUCCCCGGGCUCAACCUGGGAACUGCAUUCGAAACUGGCAGGCUAGAGUCUUGUAGAGGGGGGUAGAAUUCCAGGUGUAGCGGUGAAAUGCGUAGAGAUCUGGAGGAAUACCGGUGGCGAAGGCGGCCCCCUGGACAAAGACUGACGCUCAGGUGCGAAAGCGUGGGGAGCAAACAGGAUUAGAUACCCUGGUAGUCCACGCUGUAAACGAUGUCGAUUUGGAGGUUGUGCCCUUGAGGCGUGGCUUCCGGAGCUAACGCGUUAAAUCGACCGCCUGGGGAGUACGGCCGCAAGGUUAAAACUCAAAUGAAUUGACGGGGGCCCGCACAAGCGGUGGAGCAUGUGGUUUAAUUCGAUGCAACGCGAAGAACCUUACCUGGUCUUGACAUCCACAGAACUUACCAGAGAUGGAUUGGUGCCUUCGGGAACUGUGAGACAGGUGCUGCAUGGCUGUCGUCAGCUCGUGUUGUGAAAUGUUGGGUUAAGUCCCGCAACGAGCGCAACCCUUAUCCUUUGUUGCCAGCGGUUAGGCCGGGAACUCAAAGGAGACUGCCAGUGAUAAACUGGAGGAAGGUGGGGAUGACGUCAAGUCAUCAUGGCCCUUACGACCAGGGCUACACACGUGCUACAAUGGCAUAUACAAAGAGAAGCGACCUCGCGAGAGCAAGCGGACCUCAUAAAGUAUGUCGUAGUCCGGAUUGGAGUCUGCAACUCGACUCCAUGAAGUCGGAAUCGCUAGUAAUCGUAGAUCAGAAUGCUACGGUGAAUACGUUCCCGGGCCUUGUACACACCGCCCGUCACACCAUGGGAGUGGGUUGCAAAAGAAGUAGGUAGCUUAACCUCGGAGGGCGCUACCACUUGAUACCGUCU
Molecule: ribosomal RNA, 1442 nt
Filed under: Klebsiella sp. XT-9
Lineage: Bacteria; Pseudomonadati; Pseudomonadota; Gammaproteobacteria; Enterobacterales; Enterobacteriaceae
Description: bacterial SSU rRNA
Rfam family: Bacterial small subunit ribosomal RNA
Source: RNAcentral